This 1099-nucleotide long non-coding RNA is filed under the name Homo sapiens (human). RNAcentral describes it as "HSALNT0154295". The record is from RNAcentral. Lineage: Eukaryota; Metazoa; Chordata; Mammalia; Primates; Hominidae.
UGGCUGCCAGGAGGGAGGCCAGUCGCGGGACUGGGGAACUGGCAGGCUGCUGGCCGGCGCGUGGAACCACCCCCGCCACCCCCGCACCCCCAAUGUUGAACCAGAGUUCUUAACUUCCAUGUGCACGAACCCCAGGGAGUGCAGGAACACCCCCAAACUGUGCACAAAUUGAGCAUGUUUGUGCAUUCUUCAGGGGAGAGGGGCCGUGGGCUUUCCUCCGGUUUUCAGAAGUCCACGGCCCCCUAAGGAUCCAAAUCUUAGGCUUUAAGGGGUUCUGUGCAGAUCCUCAGCAGCCUCCCCAGCUUCAGAUCCGGCCUCCUGAGCUCCAGUCUCUCUGAUACCUGCACCCAGGCUCAGGUGCAGGCCAGAGCUCACCUGACUCUGGUGAGCUGCUCUGCCCUACACCGGGAUUGCAGCACACAUCACAUGGCGCUGUCAUUGUCAGAUCCAUCUCUGUGUCCCCACACCCAGCCUGACACAUGGAGCCUGGGAUACAAUAGAUGCUCAAACCGUUGGGACUAACAAUUUGUACCUGGCCUUCGUGAGACCCCUGGAGGGAACUGCCACUGGCGCUGGUUUCGUAGCAAGAAUAUACCUCAAAUGACCAAACAGGAAUGAAAAACUUCAGAUGGUUUAGGUGCCAGUGGCUUCCGAAUAAAACAGCAUUCUUGAAGUGAACAGCUGAUGAGGACAUGAAAUAUUAUGCCAAAGCUGGCAUCACACUGUUCUUUUUCCUGGAUGAAAAUCUCUCUGAGAAGCAUUUGCUCUUAACUUUGGUGUCCUGGGGACUGCUGCCUUAUCCCAGGAAGCCACCCAGAGUCUUGGAUGUGUGGGAUCCUUAGGACUUCAUGGUAAACCUGCUCUAGUCCCUCGGGUUAGUAAAAUGAAGCCCAGGACAUCUGAGAGCCCCCAGCACUUCCAUAGAAAUGGACCAAAAUCCCUUCUCCCAGGGGGAGAAACCUGGAAUAAGCUCAAGAGGACAGACGGCUAAAUUUUCAAGAAUCGUGUGAGCUGCUGUUAAACAAGCCAUUAUUAAAACUUUAAUUGUGUAAACUUACAAUUAGGUCAGUUAUAUUAAAAGUAAAAGUGAUACAUACCC